Molecule: unclassified non-coding RNA, 1128 nt
Filed under: Hevea brasiliensis (rubber tree)
Lineage: Eukaryota; Viridiplantae; Streptophyta; Magnoliopsida; Malpighiales; Euphorbiaceae
Source: RNAcentral
GUUUGUGUGAUGGGAAAGGAAGCUGGGCUGCAUGAAAUUUCUGGUAGUGGACGGGUUGGUAAAGGACAUAUGAUUGAUUUUCUUUCCAACUCCGCCCAUUCCGGUGAUUUCCUGCGCUUGCUCCCUUUCCCUUCUCUCAUCUUUACCUACUUUGCCGUCUACUCUACUAACUCUACUAAUCUAUGAGAGGAAUGAGGGAAAGGCUGAGAGUGUUGAUGCAAGUUUUUGGAUCUGAAGGUCUUGGAAAGGAUCAGUUUUCAUUUCUGAGAAAUUCUUUCCGAAACCUCCAAUUCCAAUCAUUUGCAUCUCCUUCUCCCUUUCCCAUAGAUAUCCUUCAUUUCUGACUUCAUUUUGGCUAAGGUUCUUCUUUCCUUUUUUAUUAUGAUUUCUGUAUAUUCGUAUGAUUGAUUUUGAUCUCUGGAUUUUAUUCACCCUUUUUUUUUUUAAAUCUUCGUGUCUUCUGUUAGAAAGCAGAUCAGUAAAUGCUUACUGAUGUUUAUUCCUGAGAAAUCAUUUGUGAUGUGAUAUUCCCCUCAUUUUCACCUUAAUUGAUUCCCAUUCAAUUUCUCUAUGCAGAAAUGCAGAUUGAUUAUUCAAAGAAAGUGUUGGGAUUUAAGCAAUAUAUUCUGGAUCCGUUUUGUUUCUCAAGAGAUGCAAUGGUUUUAUAUAAAAAGUGUUAAAUUUUAAAGACAGAUACACAUUCGCGCACUAUUAAUUAUAGCUCCUUGUUAAUAAAUCUUGCAAUAAUAGAUUUCAUGUGAAGCAUGUGCUUGUUAUUGAUCUUGUUUUGUGAACAAUAACCACAGAAAAGUUGGAGAGAAUCUCGUGGAGAAUAGAAAAAAGCAGAUGGAGGCUGGUCAGGAGUUUGCCAAGCUAAGUCCAAAGAAAGGGAUUCUCAGCACUGAGGUUGAUUGCCUGUCUUAUGAGAUAUGGAGCUCCGUUAUGUGUAUUUCAGGCUUAGCUUAAUAGUUAUUAGUAGAAGUGCAGAUACAGCAUGUUAUUGUACCUCCAAAGCAGCAAAGCUUCUGCACCACAGUCCACACACUUAAUGUUCUGUUUUAUUCAUUAUAUUGUUAGUAUCCAUUGAUUUUAGAGUAAAAAAUUUUAUUCAUUGAAUCAAAAAUUUUU